RNAcentral lists this ribosomal RNA (657 nucleotides) under Triticum aestivum (bread wheat). Its description in RNAcentral is "partial small subunit ribosomal RNA". The record is from RNAcentral. Lineage: Eukaryota; Viridiplantae; Streptophyta; Magnoliopsida; Poales; Poaceae.
GACCAAGGCGGAGGGAGGAGGUCUAGGGGCAAGAGGGCUCGCGCAGGUACCGGUACAGCGCCCUCAUUGAUGCUGGUGGUCGGAAAGGAGUAGCGCGGUUCUGUAGGUCCUCGAAGCGGCAGCAGCAGAGGAAACUGAUGUAGGUAGACAAGCUCGGCCCUGAAGCAGUUCGAAGUCCUAGCUCGGAAGAGGGGCAGCCUGUGGCAGCGGUAGAGCAGCGACAGGGCGCUCGAGACCAGGUUGAGGGCGGAGGGGCUGGAGCGGAUGUACGAGCGUUGGGGUUCUGGCUACAACUACGGGGACACUAGCUGAUGCAGCUGCUGCUGGGACGAAGAACAGACUCGUUGGUCUACCACCUAGGAACCUCGGUCUACGGUGGCGGCUUCCUAUGAUGAUGCACUUCUAGCAGCUGCUGGUCCUCAUCAAUCCUCCAGGGUCAGUCCUCCGGAACGGAGAAGCUAGCACAAUGAAAACACGAUCGGAAGAAUUCCGUUUGAACAAAUUGAAUACAGACAUGAGUCUAUAACAACGAAGGCGACUGAGAACACAUAGCUCGAAAACAUAAGCUCGGGAGCUCCGGGGACCGAACAUUAUAUUUCGAACAUAAUAAAAUAAACACAGAUCUCAACACAACACUACAGAAAGGCACUCAGGGGC